Molecule: ribosomal RNA, 34 nt
Filed under: Swietenia macrophylla
Lineage: Eukaryota; Viridiplantae; Streptophyta; Magnoliopsida; Sapindales; Meliaceae
Also listed under: 1 other name
Description: partial 26S ribosomal RNA
Source: RNAcentral
CCCGCUGAGUUUAAGCAUAUCAAUAAGCGGAGGA